GAUGAACGCUGGCGGCGUGCCUAAUACAUGCAAGUCGAGCGAACAGAUGAGGAGCUUGCGCCGCGGACGUUAGCGGCGGACGGGUGAGUAACACGUGGAUAACCUACCUAUAAGACGGGGAUAACUUCGGGAAACCGGAGCAAAUACCGGAGAAUAUAUUGAACCGCGUGGGUCAAUAGAGAAAGACGGUUGUGCGGGCACGUAUAGAUGGAUCUGCGCCGCAUGAGCUAGUUGGUAGGGUAAAGGCUUACUAAGGCAACGAGGCGUAGCCGACCUGAGAGGCUGAUCGCCCACCUUGGAACUGGGCCGCCCUCCAUACUCCUACGAGACGCACCAGUCGCGAACCUUCCGCAAUGGUCGAGAGCCUUACGGAGCAGCGGCGCGUCAGUGAUGACGGUCUUCGGAUCGUAAAACUCUGUUAUUAGUGAAAAACAACUGUCUCCGUUACCAUGCCCGUCUUGACGGUACCGAGUCAGAAAGCCCCGGCUAACUACGUG
This 497-nucleotide ribosomal RNA is filed under the name uncultured bacterium. Its description in RNAcentral is "partial 16S ribosomal RNA". It matches the Rfam family "Bacterial small subunit ribosomal RNA", at positions 28 to 507 of the family's 1533-position model. The record is from RNAcentral.